CCUACGGGCGGCAGCAGUGGGGAAUAUUGGACAAUGGGGGCAACCCUGAUCCAGCCAUGCCGCGUGUGUGAAGAAGGCCCUCGGGUUGUAAAGCACUUUCAGUGAGGAAGAACGCCUGGUGGUUAAUACCCAUCAGGAAAGACAUCACUCACAGAAGAAGCACCGGCUAACUCCGUGCCAGCAGCCGCGGUAAUACGGAGGGUGCGAGCGUUAAUCGGAAUUACUGGGCGUAAAGCGCGCGUAGGUGGCUUGAUAAGCCGGUUGUGAAAGCCCCGGGCUCAACCUGGGAACGGCAUCCGGAACUGUCAAGCUAGAGUGCAGGAGAGGAAGGUAGAAUUCCCGGUGUAGCGGUGAAAUGCGUAGAGAUCGGGAGGAAUACCAGUGGCGAAGGCGGCCUUCUGGACUGACACUGACACUGAGGUGCGAACGCGUGGGUAGCAAACAGGAUUAGAUACCCGAGUAGUC
Molecule: ribosomal RNA, 465 nt
Filed under: Vreelandella stevensii
Lineage: Bacteria; Pseudomonadati; Pseudomonadota; Gammaproteobacteria; Oceanospirillales; Halomonadaceae
Description: partial 16S ribosomal RNA
Rfam family: Bacterial small subunit ribosomal RNA
Source: RNAcentral